CGAAACUGCGAAUGGCUCAUUAAAACAGUUAUAAUUUAUUUGAUGAUUUUUUUACAUGGAUAACCGUGGGAAACUAGGGCUAAUACAUGCAUAAGACCUUUUUAGGUUGUAUUUAUUAGUUUUAAACCAAUAUGGUCUUUCAUAUUGUGAGGAAUCAUAAUAACUGAUCGAAGCGCAGUAACAUGCGCUACAUCAUAUAAGUUUCUGCCCUAUCAGCUUGAUGGUAGUGUAUUGGACUACCACGGCGGUCACGGGUAGCGGGGAAUUAGGGUUCGAUUCCGGAGAGGGAGCCUGAGAAACGGCUACCAUUUCUACGGAAGGCAGCAGGCGCGUAAAUUACCCAAUCCCGACUCAGGGAGGUAGUUAAUAGACAUAACA
RNAcentral lists this ribosomal RNA (378 nucleotides) under uncultured eukaryote. Its description in RNAcentral is "bacterial SSU rRNA". It matches the Rfam family "Eukaryotic small subunit ribosomal RNA", at positions 82 to 482 of the family's 1831-position model. The record is from RNAcentral.